RNAcentral lists this ribosomal RNA (440 nucleotides) under uncultured bacterium. Its description in RNAcentral is "partial 16S ribosomal RNA". It matches the Rfam family "Bacterial small subunit ribosomal RNA", at positions 28 to 507 of the family's 1533-position model. The record is from RNAcentral.
GAUGAACGCUGGCGGCGUGCCUAAUACAUGCAAGUCGAACGGGGAGUAGCAAUACUCUUAGUUGCGAACGGGUGAGUAACGCGUUGGUACCUGCCCCGAAGCGGUGGAUAACGGACCGAAAGGUCCGCUAAUACCCCAUGUGCUCGGUAACGAGUAAAGGUGAAAACCACUUUGGGUGGGGCCUGCGUCCCAUCAUCUAGUUGGUAAGGUAACGGCUUACCAAGGCGAUGACGGGUAGGGGACCUGCGAGGGUGGCCCCCCAAAAUGGACGGAAACACGGUACAUAAACCUACGGGUGGCAGCAGUAGGGAAUAUUGGAAAUGGGCGCAAGCCUGAACCAGCAACGCAGCGUGUGAGAUGACGGCCUUCGGGUUGUAAAGCACUUUUGACUGGGACGAGGAAGGACGGUACCGGUGGAAUCAGCCUCGGCUAACUACGUG